AGCCAAGAGAUGCCAAGGGCUGGGAAUCACCAUUCAAAACCUGCCAGAGAUGGUGCCACCACGGGUUACAGUGGAUCAGCCACGGCCUUUUCAGCUUUUAAGGAGAUUUUGGGCUGCCUGGGAUUCCCUGGUUGUGAUUGUUCAGGAAAUAAAAGGGAAAGGAAGCUCCAGAGCAUGACUGAGACCUCUCCAGACACAGCCUGCCCCAGGCAGGGUUUACACACGGUGCCAGAGGAGGGUGGCUGGUGGUGACUGGUGCCACAUCCACCUGGAGGACAGCCACUAGUGGGAUUCCCCUGGGUUCAGUACAUUUACUGAUGAGGAGAUCAGAGAGAAGCUCAUAUGUCUAGGAUCGAGUAUGAUCAGAGCUUAACUCCACAAAGAAAAUAAAAAUACAAAAGCUACAGCAAUCAUAGAGGAAGAGUGGAGGAAGAGAUAAAGGAGAACGCAGGAACGAGAUGGAAAGAGCUGAGUGAGAGUGAGAGAGCCUCGCUGGUGACUUGGGGUCUGGCCGUGCUGCCUUUGGCGGGGCUGCCGCCGUUACUCGCUGGUUUUCAGCAUGAGUAAUGGUGUCAGCGUGAGCCCAUAAAUUCUGGGGAAUUUGUAAAGUGCCUGUCACAACGUUAUCUAAAGAGCAGUGGCACUUUGGAGACCGUUCUGGGCUGCUGAGGAGGGGAGGCUCUUCAGUCUGCCUUUGCAAUGAAGCUCUGCUGUAGCACACUGUGCUCCUUUACAGUGUCACGUUGUCCUCAUUUCAAGAGGGAUUUCUGCAUGGAAAAGGUUGUUAAAUAUUGGAAAGGGCUGCCCAGGGAGGUUUGGAGUCCCCAUCCCUGGAGGUGUCCCAGGAAGGCCUGGAGGUGGCACUCAGAGCUCUGGGCUGGGGACAAGGCACAGCUGGGACUCAAUAACCUUGGAGGACUUUCCCAACCUCAAUGAUUCUGUGACUGUUGUGCCCAUGAUAUCCCUGGUUGUACAACCUCAGGAGAAAAGGCUUCAUUUACCACUUCCCAGUUUUUCUUUCCCAUGAGAAGAUUCAUGGCAGAAAAGCUCCCCCAGCCUGGUGAGCACAUGUGGGGAGUUACCUGAGCAAUUAAAUGAAGGCACUCCUGUGAGCGGCGCACGUGGGAUAUUCUUUGAAGAUGUUGUGUGAUCAAAGCAGAGAAAGGAAAUAAAAACGUGUAUGUUUGCUAAAUAUUGAAUAAAUGAAAUGUGAGGGUACUGCAAUGAAAAGGUAGAACAUGUGUUUGUGGGGAAAGGCUCCAUCCACUUCAUAUCCAUGAGUAAAUAUUUUAUGUGGUCCUGUUCACAUUCCCUCCUGUUGUUCCUGGUGGGGAAACUAGAGGAUAGAGGAGGCCGAGACAUAACGGGUUUGUGGGCAACUCUAUGAUUUAUUGUGUCAUUUAUGGGCCAGUGUCAGACUUCUUUUAUCUCCCCCAGGAAGAGCAGAACUCAGAGGGCUGACAGGGAUGCAGGCACCAAGGUGCAAGUGUUCUGGGCAAGUGGCAAGAACUGAAAAGGAUAAACCACUUCUCUCUGAAGUACCAGAAUGGCAGUAAAAGAAUCAUACAAUGGUUUGGCUUGGAAGGGAUCUUAAAAAUCAUCCAGUGCCACCCCCUGCCAUGGCAGGGAC
Passer domesticus (house sparrow) is the source of this 1630-nucleotide long non-coding RNA. RefSeq lists it as uncharacterized. NCBI's taxonomy places the organism in Eukaryota, Metazoa, Chordata, Aves, Passeriformes, Passeridae. The record is from RefSeq and is a predicted model, not a curated record. The transcript is spliced from 3 exons.